ACAGUUUCACUCUCAACAUU
Molecule: non-coding RNA, 20 nt
Filed under: Arabidopsis thaliana (thale cress)
Lineage: Eukaryota; Viridiplantae; Streptophyta; Magnoliopsida; Brassicales; Brassicaceae
Source: RNAcentral